Molecule: ribosomal RNA, 468 nt
Filed under: uncultured bacterium
Lineage: Bacteria
Description: partial 16S ribosomal RNA
Rfam family: Bacterial small subunit ribosomal RNA
Source: RNAcentral
GACGAACGCUGGCGGCGUGCUUAACACAUGCAAGUCGAACGGAAAGGCCCUGCUUUUGUGGGGUGCUCGAGUGGCGAACGGGUGAGUAACACGUGAGUAACCUGCCCUUGACUUUGGGAUAACUUCAGGAAACUGGGGCUAAUACCGGAUAGGAGCUCCUGCUGCAUGGUGGGGGUUGGAAAGUUUCGGCGGUUGGGGAUGGACUCGCGGCUUAUCAGCUUGUUGGUGGGGUAGUGGCUUACCAAGGCUUUGACGGGUAGCCGGCCUGAGAGGGUGACCGGCCACAUUGGGACUGAGAUACGGCCCAGACUCCUACGGGAGGCAGCAGUGGGGAAGAUUGCACAAUGGGCGGAAGCCUGAUGCAACAACGCCGCGUGCGGGAUGACGGCCUUCGGGUUGUAAACCGCUUUCGCCUGUGACGAAGCGUGAGUGACGGUAAUGGGUAAAGAAGCACCGGCUAACUACGUG